GUCUCUGGCCAUACCACGCUGUAUGUACCCGUCCUGAUCUCCUCCGAUCUCACAAGCUAAGCAGGGCUGGGGCUAGGUUAGAGCUU
This 86-nucleotide ribosomal RNA is filed under the name Jaculus jaculus (lesser Egyptian jerboa). The record is from RNAcentral. Lineage: Eukaryota; Metazoa; Chordata; Mammalia; Rodentia; Dipodidae.